Bos indicus x Bos taurus (hybrid cattle) is the source of this 164-nucleotide long non-coding RNA. Lineage: Eukaryota; Metazoa; Chordata; Mammalia; Artiodactyla; Bovidae. The record is from Ensembl.
UUGUGGUUAGAGAAGCAAAAAGAAGAGAAAAAAACUGCACGAGUGAAAUUUCCUGGUAAUUCUGACCUGGCCUUUCUGAGCUCCAGAGAUGCUUCUGCUCCCAGCUUUCCUCCCCAGAGGCCCCCAGACCAGAGACCCCCAGGACUCCAUGGGAGGUGACCAUU